CCCUCUCGUUGCCGACCCUCCGGGGCUAGCGCCCGAGAUCCCUUUCCCAGAGUGCUUUGCGCCGUGAAGAAGCGGCUCCCGGGGACUAGGGGCAUUUUGUGUUGGCUGGAGCCGGAGUAACAAGAUGGCGGCGUCGGCGGAGUGACAGGGGUCCCUCCGGGCGGGAGCCGGCGGCAGUGGUGGCAGCGGUAUCGCCGCCCUAAACCACCGCGCCCCUUUUCCAGCCCGCGACGUCGCCGUGAAAGCGAGCCAGCGGCGGCCGCCCAGAAACAAGUGGCCCAGGCUGGUAACCGCGAGAACCCCCUCAACAAACUGCGGCCUGGCGAAAAGAAGCCUGAGUGAGCGGCGGCGAUCAGGUUCCCCUCGGCCAAUUCUGGGCCCUGUAACGCCUUGAAAGAGCCAACGUUUUCCGUUUCCUGCCGCCCUCCUCCGCAGCCUUGUUCCGCGGACGAGCCCCAGAGGCCUCCGUCCCCCCCUCAGAGGUGUCGGGGCUUGGCCCCAGCCUCCAUCUUCAUCUCUCAGGAUGGCGAGCAGCAGUGGCUCCAAGGCCGAAUUCAUUGUCGGAGGGAAAUAUAAACUGGUACGGAAGAUCGGGUCUGGCUCCUUCGGGGACAUUUACCUGGCGAUCAACAUUACCAACGGCGAGGAAGUGGCAGUGAAGCUAGAAUCUCAGAAGGCCAGGCAUCCCCAGUUGCUGUACGAGAGCAAACUCUAUAAGAUUCUUCAAGGUGGGGUGGGCAUUCCCCACAUACGGUGGUAUGGUCAGGAAAAAGACUAUAAUGUGCUAGUCAUGGAUCUUCUUGGACCCAGCCUCGAAGACCUCUUCAAUUUCUGUUCAAGAAGGUUCACAAUGAAAACUGUACUUAUGUUAGCUGACCAGAUGAUCAGUAGAAUUGAAUAUGUGCAUACGAAGAAUUUUAUACACAGAGACAUUAAGCCAGAUAACUUCCUAAUGGGUAUUGGGCGUCACUGUAAUAAGUGUUUAGAAUCUCCAGUGGGGAAGAGGAAAAGAAGCAUGACUGUUAGUACUUCUCAGGACCCAUCUUUCUCAGGAUUAAACCAGUUAUUCCUUAUUGAUUUUGGUUUGGCCAAAAAGUACAGAGACAACAGGACAAGGCAACACAUACCAUACAGAGAAGAUAAAAAUCUCACUGGCACUGCCCGAUAUGCUAGCAUCAAUGCACAUCUUGGUAUUGAACAGAGUCGCCGAGAUGACAUGGAAUCAUUAGGAUAUGUUUUGAUGUAUUUUAAUAGAACCAGCCUGCCAUGGCAAGGACUAAAGGCUGCAACAAAAAAGCAAAAAUAUGAAAAGAUUAGUGAAAAGAAGAUGUCCACUCCUGUUGAAGUUUUAUGUAAGGGGUUUCCUGCAGAAUUUGCCAUGUACUUAAACUAUUGUCGUGGGCUGCGCUUUGAGGAAGCCCCGGAUUACAUGUAUCUGAGGCAGCUAUUCCGCAUUCUUUUCAGGACCCUGAACCACCAAUAUGACUACACAUUUGAUUGGACAAUGUUAAAGCAGAAAGCAGCACAGCAGGCAGCCUCUUCAAGUGGGCAGGGUCAGCAGGCCCAAACCCCCACAGGCAAGCAAACUGACAAAACCAAGAGUAACAUGAAAGCUUAACUUUUUCUGACUUCACCAAUUGCUGCUAGGAACGUGGCUGGUCACUCAGCAACGUAACCCAAAUCACAGGGGAAGACCUUGAAAUAUCUGGAAACUGAUCUUCUCUGAAUACACUCAGUCUAAAGAAGUGCCAGGGAGCUACUCUGCGUGCUGAAGUUUUUGUCAGCUUUUUUCACUGUGGACAGUACAACUGGAGAGGAAAGAGCCCAGUAACCCAACAGGAAGUGAAGAGAAGUGUGCAAGAAUUGAUUUGUGGCGAUCUGAAGCCCACAUCUUCAAGGCUUGCUGGACCUAUCAAAAACUUCAACUUGUCAGAUUGUCUGGAUGGAGACCACAACAGUUGGAAGACCUAGAAGAGUGCAGUGUUGCUGUGACUCAGUGGUGUAGAAUGCAGACCAUCUACCAGUUGGGGAAGGACUCAGUUGUAACAGGAACAAAGGGAUCCAUUCCUUAUUGUAACUGUUGUUGCAGUGAAGAUGGGUUUUGGGACUUUUAGAAGCCAGAAGCCAGGAGAGACCACCUAAACCACAAGAUAAAAACCAAGGACUCACGCACACUGGGAAAAAGAAUACCAGCACUUGAAGAUUAAAUGUUGAAUACCCACUGAAUGCUCCCAUUGAGAUUUUUCUUAAACUUCAGUAACAUCUUAGGACAGUUCACUGGAGAAACAUUGAUCCCUGGGUGGAGUAUCCUACUAUUGACCAAUCUGAAGAGUUAAAUCUGCGUUUGACUGCUCUCUUCUACCGGGAAUAUUUUUAGGCUAGCCUAUAUCUUAUCCCCUAAGCAAUUGUAAUCAUUAAUUGACCCAGGAAUCUCUAAAAUAUCAGAUUAAAAGAUGAACAGUACAAUUCUUAUCUAGAUAUAAUUUUUAUCCCUAUUAAAGUUGAGAGUUUUCUAAUAUUUUGACAAUAUAACUUAAGCCUUCUUUUUAGUGACAGUGGUUUCUAUUUUGAAGCUGUUUGGAUAUUCAACAUAGUAAUUAAAUUGCUCAAUAUAAUGUAA
This is an RNA transcript of Lontra canadensis (Northern American river otter), 2620 nucleotides long. It is a transcript of the gene named casein kinase 1 alpha 1, with no coding region annotated. Lineage: Eukaryota; Metazoa; Chordata; Mammalia; Carnivora; Mustelidae. The transcript has 12 exons. The record is from RefSeq and is a predicted model, not a curated record.